GAUGAACGCUGGCGGCGUGCCUAAUACAUGCAAGUCGAGCGGUAAGGCCCUUCGGGGUACACGAGCGGCGGACGGCUGAGUAACACGUAGGAACCUACCCCAAACUGAGGGAUAAGCACCAGAAAUGGUGUCUAAUACCGCAUGUGCUCUACGGAGUAAAGCUUCGGCGGGUUGGGACGGGCCUGCGUCCGAUUAGCUAGUUGGUGGUAUAAAAGACUACCAAGGCGACGAUCGGUAGCUGGUCUGAGAGGAUGAUCAGCCAGACUGGGACUGAGACACGGCCCAGACUCCUACGGGAGGCAGCAGUAGGGAAUUUUCCACAAUGGGCGAAAGCCUGAUGGAGCAACGCCGCGUGCAGGAUGAAUGCCUUCGGGUUGUAAACUGCUUUUAUCUGUGACGAAUAUGACGGUAGCAGAUGAAUAAGGACCUGCUAACUACGUGCCAGCAGCCGCGGUAA
RNAcentral lists this ribosomal RNA (457 nucleotides) under uncultured bacterium. Its description in RNAcentral is "partial 16S ribosomal RNA". It matches the Rfam family "Bacterial small subunit ribosomal RNA", at positions 28 to 523 of the family's 1533-position model. The record is from RNAcentral.